RNAcentral lists this ribosomal RNA (253 nucleotides) under uncultured bacterium. Its description in RNAcentral is "partial 16S ribosomal RNA". It matches the Rfam family "Bacterial small subunit ribosomal RNA", at positions 524 to 776 of the family's 1533-position model. The record is from RNAcentral.
GACAGAGGGGGCAAGCGUUGCUCGGAAUUACUGGGCGUAAAGGGCGCGUAGGCGGGAUGGCAAGUCGGUCGUGAAAUCCUUCGGCUCAACCGAAGAACGUCGAUCGAUACUGCUGUUCUUGAGGGUUGCAGAGGAGACUGGGAUUCCCGGUGUAGCGGUGAAAUGUGUAGAGAUCGGGAGGAACACCGGUGGCGAAGGCGGGUCUCUGGGCAAUUCCUGACGCUGAGGCGCGAAAGCGUGGGGAGCAAACGGG